This 301-nucleotide ribosomal RNA is filed under the name uncultured bacterium. RNAcentral's name for it is "partial 16S ribosomal RNA". It matches the Rfam family "Bacterial small subunit ribosomal RNA", at positions 509 to 809 of the family's 1533-position model. The record is from RNAcentral.
CAGUAGCCGCGGGAAUACGAAGGGGGCUAGCGUUGCUCGGAAUUACUGGGCGUAAAGGGAGCGUAGGCGGACAUUUAAGUCAGGGGUGAAAUCCCAGAGCUCAACUCUGGAACUGCCUUUGAUACUGGGUGUCUUGAGUGUGAUAGAGGUGUGUGGAACUCCGAGUGUAGAGGUGAAAUUCGUAGAUAUUCGGAAGAACACCAGUGGCGAAGGCGACAUACUGGAUCAUUACUGACGCUGAGGCUCGAAAGCGUGGGGAGCAAACAGGAUUAGAUACCCCGGUAGUCCCUGUCUCUUAUAA